This 227-nucleotide long non-coding RNA is filed under the name Elaeis guineensis (African oil palm). RNAcentral's name for it is "long non-coding RNA (EGUI_LNC026548)". The record is from RNAcentral. Lineage: Eukaryota; Viridiplantae; Streptophyta; Magnoliopsida; Arecales; Arecaceae.
CUCAAAGAGUAAGUAUUAAAUUAAGUAAGAUGUUUCAUUGAACACAGAACUCAUGUUUAGUUUUACUUUUUCUUUUUUUGUAGUUUUUAUCAAGCACAUAUACGAUGAUGGAUGGAAAUCAGGAAUUUGAGAUUAAUAUAGAAUAUACAGGAAAUACUAGACAGACAACAAGCAUCUACCACCAUAAUUUUAUUUCACACAUCUCAUAAAAUAUAUAUUUGUGUGAG